GGAGAGAUGGCCGAGUGGUCGAAGGCACUCCCUUGCUAAGGGAGCAUACGAUCAAAAGUCGUAUCGAGAGUUCGAAUCUCUCUCUCUCCGCCA
This 93-nucleotide transfer RNA is filed under the name Bdellovibrionales bacterium. RNAcentral's name for it is "tRNA-Ser". It matches the Rfam family "tRNA". From Rfam's summary of the family: Transfer RNA (tRNA) molecules are approximately 80 nucleotides in length. Their secondary structure includes four short double-helical elements and three loops (D, anti-codon, and T loops). Lineage: Bacteria; Pseudomonadati; Bdellovibrionota; Bdellovibrionia; Bdellovibrionales. The record is from RNAcentral.